Molecule: ribosomal RNA, 460 nt
Filed under: uncultured bacterium
Lineage: Bacteria
Description: partial 16S ribosomal RNA
Rfam family: Bacterial small subunit ribosomal RNA
Source: RNAcentral
CCUACGGGUGGCAGCAGUGAGGAAUAUUGGUCAAUGGGCGCGAGCCUGAACCAGCCAAGCAGCGUGCAGGAUGACUGCCCUAUGGGUUGUAAACUUCUUUUAUAAAGGAAUAAAGUGCGGCACGUGUGCCUUUUUGAAUGUAUCUUAUGAAUAAGGAUCGGCUAACUCCGUGCCAGCAGCCGCGGUAAUACGGAGGAUCCGAGCGUUAUCCGGAUUUAUUGGGUUUAAAGGGUGCGUAGGCGGGUUGUUAAGUUAGUUGUGAAAGUUUGCGGCUCAACCCCAAAAUUGCCAUUAAUACUGGCAGUCUUGAGUACAGUUGAGGUAGGCGGAAUGCGUGGUGUAGCGGUGAAAUGCUUAGAGAUCACGAAGAACUCCGAUUGCGAAGGCAGCUUACUAAACUGCCACUGACAUUGAUGCUCGAAAGUGUGGGUAUCAAACAGGAUUAGAUACCCUUGUAGUC